This 461-nucleotide ribosomal RNA is filed under the name uncultured bacterium. Its description in RNAcentral is "partial 16S ribosomal RNA". It matches the Rfam family "Bacterial small subunit ribosomal RNA", at positions 338 to 795 of the family's 1533-position model. The record is from RNAcentral.
CCUACGGGAGGCAGCAGUGAGGAAUAUUGGUCAAUGGACGAGAGUCUGAACCAGCCAAGUAGCGUGAAGGAUGACUGCCCUAUGGGUUGUAAACUUCUUUUAUAAAGGAAUAAAACGAGGCACGUGUGCCUUUUUGCAUGUACUUUAUGAAUAAGGAUCGGCUAACUCCGUGCCAGCAGCCGCGGUAAUACGGAGGAUCCGAGCGUUAUCCGGAUUUAUUGGGUUUAAAGGGAGCGUAGAUGGGUUGUUAAGUCAGUUGUGAAAGUUUGCGGCUCAACCGUAAAAUUGCAAUUGAUACUGGCAGUCUUGAGUACAGUUGAGGUAAGCGGAAUUCGUGGUGUAGCGGUGAAAUGCUUAGAUAUCACGAAGAACCCCGAUUGCGAAGGCAGCUCACUAAACUGUGACUGACAUUGAUGCUCGAAAGUGUGGGUAUCAAACAGGAUUAGAUACCCCGGGUAGUC